Molecule: ribosomal RNA, 1320 nt
Filed under: Salmonella enterica subsp. enterica serovar Newport
Lineage: Bacteria; Pseudomonadati; Pseudomonadota; Gammaproteobacteria; Enterobacterales; Enterobacteriaceae
Description: bacterial SSU rRNA
Rfam family: Bacterial small subunit ribosomal RNA
Source: RNAcentral
CCCAGAUGGGAUUAGCUUGUUGGUGAGGUAAUGGCUCACCAAGGCGACGAUCCCUAGCUGGUCUGAGAGGAUGACCAGCCACACUGGAACUGAGACACGGUCCAGACUCCUACGGGAGGCAGCAGUGGGGAAUAUUGCACAAUGGGCGCAAGCCUGAUGCAGCCAUGCCGCGUGUAUGAAGAAGGCCUUCGGGUUGUAAAGUACUUUCAGCGGGGAGGAAGGUGUUGCGGUUAAUAACCGCAGCAAUUGACGUUACCCGCAGAAGAAGCACCGGCUAACUCCGUGCCAGCAGCCGCGGUAAUACGGAGGGUGCAAGCGUUAAUCGGAAUUACUGGGCGUAAAGCGCACGCAGGCGGUCUGUCAAGUCGGAUGUGAAAUCCCCGGGCUCAACCUGGGAACUGCAUUCGAAACUGGCAGGCUUGAGUCUUGUAGAGGGGGGUAGAAUUCCAGGUGUAGCGGUGAAAUGCGUAGAGAUCUGGAGGAAUACCGGUGGCGAAGGCGGCCCCCUGGACAAAGACUGACGCUCAGGUGCGAAAGCGUGGGGAGCAAACAGGAUUAGAUACCCUGGUAGUCCACGCCGUAAACGAUGUCUACUUGGAGGUUGUGCCCUUGAGGCGUGGCUUCCGGAGCUAACGCGUUAAGUAGACCGCCUGGGGAGUACGGCCGCAAGGUUAAAACUCAAAUGAAUUGACGGGGGCCCGCACAAGCGGUGGAGCAUGUGGUUUAAUUCGAUGCAACGCGAAGAACCUUACCUGGUCUUGACAUCCACAGAACUUUCCAGAGAUGGAUUGGUGCCUUCGGGAACUGUGAGACAGGUGCUGCAUGGCUGUCGUCAGCUCGUGUUGUGAAAUGUUGGGUUAAGUCCCGCAACGAGCGCAACCCUUAUCCUUUGUUGCCAGCGGUCCGGCCGGGAACUCAAAGGAGACUGCCAGUGAUAAACUGGAGGAAGGUGGGGAUGACGUCAAGUCAUCAUGGCCCUUACGACCAGGGCUACACACGUGCUACAAUGGCGCAUACAAAGAGAAGCGACCUCGCGAGAGCAAGCGGACCUCAUAAAGUGCGUCGUAGUCCGGAUUGGAGUCUGCAACUCGACUCCAUGAAGUCGGAAUCGCUAGUAAUCGUGGAUCAGAAUGCCACGGUGAAUACGUUCCCGGGCCUUGUACACACCGCCCGUCACACCAUGGGAGUGGGUUGCAAAAGAAGUAGGUAGCUUAACCUUCGGGAGGGCGCUUACCACUUUGUGAUUCAUGACUGGGGUGAAGUCGUAACAAGGUAACCGUAGGGGAACCUGCGGUUGGAUCACCUCCUUACCUGAAAGAA